Molecule: ribosomal RNA, 120 nt
Filed under: Lonchocarpus sumiderensis
Lineage: Eukaryota; Viridiplantae; Streptophyta; Magnoliopsida; Fabales; Fabaceae
Description: partial 5.8S ribosomal RNA
Rfam family: 5.8S ribosomal RNA
About the family: 5.8S ribosomal RNA (5.8S rRNA) is a component of the large subunit of the eukaryotic ribosome. It is transcribed by RNA polymerase I as part of the 45S precursor that also contains 18S and 28S rRNA.
Source: RNAcentral
AAGAACGCAGCGAAAUGCGAUACUUGGUGUGAAUUGCAGAAUCCCGUGAACCAUCGAGUCUUUGAACGCAAGUUGCGCCCGAAGCCAUUAGGCCGAGGGCACGCCUGCCUGGGUGUCACA